This is a long non-coding RNA of Drosophila virilis, 1129 nucleotides long. RefSeq lists it as uncharacterized. The record is from RefSeq and is a predicted model, not a curated record. NCBI's taxonomy places the organism in Eukaryota, Metazoa, Arthropoda, Insecta, Diptera, Drosophilidae.
UCUGAAAUUGAUCAAUAACUGAUUUAGAAUGAGUCAGAAUAUCUAAAAUAUAUACACAUCAGCUUUCGUAUACUAAUUAACAUGCAAACUCGUGCAGCUAGCUACACUUAAUGUUAAAUUUUAAAUCGAUGGCAAUAAUCCAUCAGAACUUUGGCUCGAAAUCUAAACUCAAACGCAACUAAAAGAAAUAACCAACAUGAAGAUGCCUCCGCUAUUCCCCAUAAUGAUUUUAAUAGUAAUUGGAUUAAAUUAUCGAAGCAAGUAGUACAAAUAAACAUUUACAUAGCAUGAGCUCAUGUGUUUUUCAUAAUAUUAUUUAAAUGAAGCCUCAUUUAAUUGAUAUAUACAAUUUGUUACGCAUGCAGAUGUUUACCUUAUGGGCCAAAAGCGACAAUCUUCAUCAACUGAGGAGUCGUUUUGGGUUUCACUGUGGAACGCGCAAAAUGAAUGCAAAUGAAAAGCCAAGGAAAACAACAGACAGAGUACAUAUAGAGAGAUAGAUAGGAAUAGAGUACAUAGACAUUAAGAGAAGAAGCACAGAUAUGAAACUUGGCUGAGUAUAUGAGUAUGAAGCACUAGUACACACAGUUCCAAUUAAUGCCUGGGCAAGAUUCGACGCGGAUUACUUACGGAUUCGUGGACAGGGAAUCGGUGCGGCUGCCAUUGUUCGCCUCCAGGCUGCUGGGAGUUCGCUUUUUGGCGGCACGCUUGAAAUUCUCGCUGAAAUAGUCGCGUCCAUUCUGGGAGCUGGUCGUCGUUUGGCCACUUUUCGCCUGCUGUGUGGGCGGCACUGUGUGCGGAUACUUGCCAUCGCUGUCCGAGUCCAUGGACAGGUGUCCGAACAGAUCCUCCAGCAGGAUGUUCGAUUUGGCGUUGCGCUGACGUUUCGCCGACGUUUUCAGUUUCGAGCUGUGUCAAUGGAUCAAACAUUUUUCAAACUAUUUACAAACACACAUCAAAAGCCACGAAUUGCAUCAAAACAGUGCUCGAACAUUUCAAACUAUUGAAAUAAUUGACAACACAGACCAACACACAAAUACACCCGAUACUGGGGACGUGCAGGGUACAAAUCGAAUUUACAACUUUGAAAAGAUGUACAUAAAUUGAUUCCUAUCGCUUGAGUAUAGUA